This 403-nucleotide ribosomal RNA is filed under the name uncultured Candidatus Saccharibacteria bacterium. Its description in RNAcentral is "partial 16S ribosomal RNA". It matches the Rfam family "Bacterial small subunit ribosomal RNA", at positions 355 to 774 of the family's 1533-position model. Lineage: Bacteria; Candidatus Saccharimonadota. The record is from RNAcentral.
UAGGGAAUUUUCCACAAUGGGCGAAAGCCUGAUGGAGCAACGCCGCGUGCAGGAUGAAGGCCCUCGGGUCGUAAACUGCUUUUAUGUGAGAAGAAUAUGACGGUAACACAUGAAUAAGGGUCGGCUAACUACGUGCCAGCAGCCGCGGUCAUACGUAGGACCCAAGCGUUAUCCGGAAUUACUGGGCGUAAAGAGUUGCGUAGGUGGCACUAUAAGUGGAGCGUGAAAGCGUGCGGCUCAACCGCAUUACUGCGUUCCAAACUGUAGAGCUUGAGUAUGAGAGGGGUAGAUGGAAUUUCUAGUGUAGGAGUGAAAUCCGUAGAUAUUAGAAGGAACACCGAUAGCGUAGGCAGUCUACUGGCUCAUUACUGACACUAAGGCACGAAAGCGUGGGGAGCAAACG